RNAcentral lists this long non-coding RNA (1047 nucleotides) under Mus musculus (house mouse). RNAcentral's name for it is "predicted gene 14461". The record is from RNAcentral. Lineage: Eukaryota; Metazoa; Chordata; Mammalia; Rodentia; Muridae.
UGUUUGGAUUUAGUUUAGGUUCAAAAGAGCACGCACAGAUCCUGAGUGUUGUCAAGCACCCGUGACUGGGAAACGGAGGCGUCCGAUCCGUAUUGGAGUCAAUUCGCCACUUAAUUGAAAAACCCUUUGAAAAGAUUCAGCACGUUGCCAUGGAGAACAUCCCACUGAAGGAAUGUAUAGAAGUAGCAGGGUUAACUGAGUGCCUUCCAUCUUCCCUCCAAGGGAUCUGCAAUGAGAUGGGAGAAGGCAACAGGCUGUGUGGGAACCACUGAAGCUGGGAUGGCAGGGAAAGAACAUCUUAGGCUAACUCUUCAAGCCUUGCUGUCACAUUUGCUUUUGAGUCUAUGGUGUCAGCUGCCUACCAGUUGCUUUCAUCUCUAGAAAUCUGUGACUUGCAGUAUGACAAGAACAAAAGGUGACAAUACAAAGGACAAAGGGCAAGGAAUACAGACGGAGAAGCCGCUUAGAGUCUAGGAUGGCAGAGGUUCUCUUGAUCAUUUCAUUUUUGAGCGCUUGUAGAGCUUUGGUGUACCAGAGGUGCUUGAACAGCUUACCACACCACAGAUGAAUGGCCUUUGGAUUUCUCCUAAGAAAAUGGGUUGAACCGAACUGGCGAUGCACUGUCUGGAUUGGAUGCAUGUAUGGUCUUACAUGACCCCCAUGAAAGGUUCAUUCAACCCCCCAAAGGGGUUGUGACCCACAGAUUGAGAACCGCUGGUACAGAAGAUCUUCACAUCACCUGAGAGCUUGCCUUGGAAGAAAUUGCAAAAGUUUUGUCUUUCUCAAAGGCUUCUUGCUUGGAAGUUCUUUUUUCACACAGGUAUCCACCAUGCAGUGGCACGUAUAAGAAGACCAUCACCAGACCUAGUGAGGCCAAUGUCACAGCCUUGAGAAAUAUCCAGAACGAUGAGUGAAGCCAACCUUGUUUUACUUUUCCCAUGAUGCUAGCUUGUCUCAGGUUCACUGCAGCAAUAUCUCAAGAAGCUUACGAUGCGCACACACGAGUCAGUACACGUACCAAUGGCGUUUAUUAAAUCCCUCUGCUAA